RNAcentral lists this transfer RNA (72 nucleotides) under Sphaerodactylus townsendi. RNAcentral describes it as "tRNA-Thr". It matches the Rfam family "tRNA". Rfam says of the family: Transfer RNA (tRNA) molecules are approximately 80 nucleotides in length. Their secondary structure includes four short double-helical elements and three loops (D, anti-codon, and T loops). Further hydrogen bonds mediate the characteristic L-shaped molecular structure. tRNAs have two regions of fundamental functional importance: the anti-codon, which is responsible for specific mRNA codon recognition, and the 3' end, to which the tRNAs corresponding amino acid is attached (by aminoacyl-tRNA synthetases). tRNAs cope with the degeneracy of the genetic code in two manners: having more than one tRNA (with a specific anti-codon) for a particular amino acid; and 'wobble' base-pairing, i.e. permitting non-standard base-pairing at the 3rd anti-codon position. Lineage: Eukaryota; Metazoa; Chordata; Lepidosauria; Squamata; Sphaerodactylidae. The record is from RNAcentral.
GGGGCCUUGGCUCAGUCAUGGAGCAUCUACUUUGUAUGCAGGGUGUCCCAGGUUCAAUCCCUGGCAGCCUCA